RNAcentral lists this long non-coding RNA (3740 nucleotides) under Mus musculus (house mouse). Its description in RNAcentral is "long non-coding RNA chr13:118719196-118722936". The record is from RNAcentral. Lineage: Eukaryota; Metazoa; Chordata; Mammalia; Rodentia; Muridae.
AUACAGAGUCCCAGAGCUUAUGGGCCUUCCUGAGAGAAAGAAGGAAAGAGAGGGACAAGGAAUAUAUAGCAUGCAAUCCAUCUUUUCAUGACACUCCAUCCUUACAAUGGUCCAUAACUUCGAUAAAAUUAUACACAUUAGAAAGGAUGAAAACUAAGGUUGGAAUAAGUGGACUUUUCAAAUCAACUACAAACUGAUGAAAGCAUAGCAGGAAUCCACCCCCAUCUAAUUAUCCCUCCUUGGAUGCUGUAGCUCUCAGUUUAUUAGACCAAGACACUCCAAAUCUCCUACAAACAAGUCAUCUAAAACUCACAUUGCCUUUUGCUGUGAACACUAACCCAUUUCCAACUUCACUGGAAGAGAAGUAAAAGGACCAUGGGGAUAAAGUGAACGUUAAAAGACAAUCAUUGCAGAUGGCCACGUGGUACCAGACACUGUCACUGAAUCCUUCAGGUCAGGGCUCUGUCCUGAUAUUAUGUUUGAGAAUAUAAUUGCUCAUGGACACACACAAAGCACGUAUACAUCAAUCUCACUUAUGUUAACAGAGGUCAUUAGAAAUACAUGACUAUUUAAGAAAACCCAUGAAUGUCAUUGUAUAUAGUAAUUGUUUACAGCUGAGGGCCAAAUGCUUAAUUGUUCCCAUGUGCAAUAAAAUAAUUUGAUUGUAAAUACCUAUGGGAGCUUAGGCUGUUGCAGGAACCUCUAACAGAGGACUGACUCUACAAAGAGUGACAUAAUAGAGACUCAAAGCUGGAGAUAGUAAGAAUGUUGUAAAGUGAAUGGGCAAAUCAAACAGAUACUCUGCCACUUAAAAAUGGUAGGUUGUAAUGGCAGAAAAAACCUUAAAGGCUUGUAUUAUUACUCUUUAGUCAGGAAUGAAGUUUAUUAUUGAAUGAAGUUUAAGAAAGUGUUGAGGAAAGAAGGAACGACAGUAUUGCCUCAUAAUAGAUGCUCAAGAGUUUUCUGGAGUGUGGGGAGGAAUCCUAUGAGCAAUUUAUGGCUUCCGCUGGUGUCUUAUUUACAAUUGUGGUUCUUUCUAGAAUUUGCUUGCAAAAUUUAUAACCAGAAAUGUUUAAUCAUCAGCAUGGAGGAUUUAUGAAGAUAGAAGGCACUGUAUUUAAUGUUUGCAGGACACUGCCUUAUCACCUUUACUGCGUUCGUACCAUGUGGACCCUCCACUUUGAUGGCGUUAUCAUAAAUCCAUUAAAAUGCACAAUUGGAGAGUUUCCUCUUCAUAAACCUGAUUUAUAACCACUACUAGAAGAAUCCAACAAACCAGUUGGCUAGAAUAACAUGCUGGUAUUGGAGGAGGAGAAUUUAGGUACCAAUCCCUAGGUCUUGGCAAGUUCAGUAACCUGGUACCUCAAGGUACAGUGCAUUUGUUAAAAGCACAUGUUUCCAAAAUGAUAUUUAAACACAUAAGUUUUGAAAAAGAAGGGUCCUAUGAAAUCAAAGCCCAUUGUCUGCACAUUUUUUUCUACUGUCACUAUUCAAUUUACACAUAAACUCUUACUCUAGUGUUUCCUUAGAAAUUAAAUAGCUUGCAAUGAACAUGAAUAGAUACUUUGAAUUCCUAUACAAUUACCUUAAUGUUGAGAGGAAAAACCCAUUUAUUAUCCAAAUGUCUAAGCUCUCCACAAACUAAAAUGUAGGGGGAAAGGUUGGCAGCUCAUUUGAAAUGGAACUUAGGCUCCUCACAUUUACGACCUGCCUAUGGAUAUCUGCAUUUUUCCCCAAGUCUUAAUGUCUUAAAUACUUAUCAAAAAUUAUAGUGCAAAUUAUGUUUAUUAUCCUCCCAAAGGACGAGAGAAUACAUGAGUAUUCAAGAUGAUUUUAAUCUAUUUUAACAGUAAUUCUCUGAACUUUGCAGUGAAUAGUAAUUUCAAAUGACAGUUUUACUAUGAAGGCUCCAACAUUUGUCAACAUUAAUAGUUGAUGUUUGCUUAAUAUAAGUAAGUAAAAUAUUAGCAUUUGCCUUGAAGAAGUUAAAAACCUCCUGUUAUUUUACAGGGAGAUGAACUACAGAUUGCUGUUCAUUUAAUUUUAAUACAGUUUUUUUCCUAACAGCUCAGAGAUAUGACAAGCUUCAUUUUGUUUCAAGUACUAUUUUACAAAUGUAUCUAAACAUUACAAGGUAUAUUACAAUUACUUAAGAUCUUUUUUAUUUACCACUUGGAAAUAUUUUUAGCCUUUUUUUUUUCAGAUUUAAGGUGUUGACUUUCUAAUAUCAGCACGUCUUCUCCUAAUAUUACUUUCACCUGAACCAGCAGUGAAUACAACCAAAAAUAUCAUUAAAAAAGUGUGUCUUUAAAGUUAGAAGAAGGAACUAUAUCCGAAUCCUAAGAUCCACCCGUGAUACUCUGAUUCUGGACUGAUGGAUACAAAAUUUUGAUAUUACAUAGUAUAUUUUAAAAAUUGAGAACCUAAUUUUAACCACUUUUUUAAAAAGUUAAUAGAAACAUUCACAAUAUCUUCCAGGGAGCCAGAUAACCCACAAAAUAAUGGCUGCCAGGGCUCCUUGCCUUUAAAUCAGGUCACUUGUGUUCUUUCUUUGAACAUUGUGUUCUAAUUGGAACAAUAAAUCAAAGAAGACACUCAGAGUAGAUUCCCAUGUAAGGUGGAUAACUGGACAGUGACUUUUUACUGCUGCUAACACGUGCAUCCAAUUACCAUUUGAUAGAUUCAUAGUGCCAGCAGUACAGCAUUACCUCAUUGUAUAGCUCACCUAAUAAUUCUUCUGCCUAAAUCUGUCUACCUUUACCUAUACCUAACCUGUCAGUAUGUGUAUUAUCAUUAAUGAGGAACUUUCAGAUGUUUGGCAUGCUUCCUGCAAUGAAUGAUGUGACAGAAAUGUUAAUUUAUUACCCAACUAAGCUUAAUAGAAGGUAAUGUCUUGAUUAAGCUGAGGCACCCUAAACUUUAAAUAAUUAAAUUUAUCUAGACAAACCCAAUAAUUCCACUACAAUUAUAACCUAAUUCUGCAGUGUUGGUUAACUGAAAGAUAAAAGACUUAUUUAGAAGCCAUAUUAUACUACAGGAAAAAAAAAUGUAUUUUUCUUGCAGGUACCUUUUAGAAUGUUCACUUUCUUGAUAAGCAUAAUUGUUGUUUGGCUCUUAAUUUUUCUUAAGAUUUCACUAUUGUGUUGAGACUGAAUCGCCAUCUGUGGUAUUGCAACUGGACUCAAGACUCAGUUACUUGCAAUAGUCCUGUUUUGAGGUAUCCUAUGACAUCUCUAUUUUAGAAACACUGUGACUCUGAUUAGUUUACCUCUCUACUAUUAGUUUACCUUACCACUAUUUUCUCUUCCAUUUUUGGUUUUAAUUUUUUUCCAGGUCCUUAAACCUAUUGCCUCUCUUCAAAGACAAACAAAUCACCACUUAGUACCCAAGGUGAUGUCCAGAAGCCCAGACAGAUACUUUAGUUGUUAUAUAGUUUAUUUUCAAUGCAUAAGAACUUCAUCAGUUUAAAUUGAACAACACCAGUAGCCUCAUUCUAUUGAAUUGCCAGCUAAUUCUUCCAUAUCCCAGCCUCCAGGCCAGGUUCUUCUAAGCUCUGCCUACAUCAAAGCGGGGAAGACCCUUACUUGAACAUCAUUCUAUGUUUGGUAUCCAGGGGAAACGCCUUACCAAAUACCCAUUUCUAAUGUUUUGUUUUCCAUUCUUUUAACAUUUUUUGCACUUGCUCUUGAUCCUCUGCUAUCUUUCUUGCCUCCAUACCUUCUUCUAAACGUAUUUAAAGG